GGCUCAAUGGUCUAGUGGUAGGAUACUCGCUUCGGGCAUUAUAUCCCAUCUCGUAGAAUGAGAUAAUGUGAGUGGUCCCGGGUUCAAAUCCCGGUUGAGCCC
Molecule: non-coding RNA, 102 nt
Organism: Hypoxylon sp. FL1857
Lineage: Eukaryota; Fungi; Ascomycota; Sordariomycetes; Xylariales; Hypoxylaceae
Source: the annotation of a GenBank genome assembly